This 418-nucleotide ribosomal RNA is filed under the name Sinorhizobium sp. 1092c. RNAcentral's name for it is "bacterial SSU rRNA". It matches the Rfam family "Bacterial small subunit ribosomal RNA", at positions 1103 to 1516 of the family's 1533-position model. The record is from RNAcentral. Lineage: Bacteria; Pseudomonadati; Pseudomonadota; Alphaproteobacteria; Hyphomicrobiales; Rhizobiaceae.
CCUCGCCCUUAGUUGCCAUCAUUCAGUUGGGCACUCUAAGGGGACUGCCGGUGAUAAUGCCGAGAGGAACGUGGGGAUGACGUCAAGUCCUCAUGGCCCUUACGGGCUGGGCUACACACGUGCUACAAUGGUGGUGACAGUGGGCAGCGAAACCGCGAGGUCGAGCUAAUCUCCAAAAGCCAUCUCAGUUCGGAUUGCACUCUGCAACUCGAGUGCAUGAAGUUGGAAUCGCUAGUAAUCGCGGAUCAGAAUGCCGCGGUGAAUACGUUCCCGGGCCUUGUACACACCGCCCGUCACACCAUGUGGAGUUGGUUUUACCCGAAGGCGCUGUGUUAACCGCAAGGAGGCAGGCGACCACGGUCAGGGUCUAGCGACUGGGGUGAAGUCGUAACAAGGUGAGCCGUCAGGGGAACCUGCC